GGUUCAGUGGUGUAGUUGGUUAUCACGUCUGUCUCACAUCCGUCAUUGCGGAUUUCAAAGUGUGUUGUAGGGGUUCACAGGAGGUCUCCGGUUCGAGCCCGGACUGAACCA
Non-coding RNA from Cerioporus squamosus, 111 nucleotides. Lineage: Eukaryota; Fungi; Basidiomycota; Agaricomycetes; Polyporales; Polyporaceae. The record is from the annotation of a GenBank genome assembly.